ACAACAUGUAGAGUGGAGGAGAUUGUAUAACUGGAUAUUUUGAGCCAACAAAUUACAUAAUUAAACAAUCACCAUUAGUUUAAAUAGAAAGCAGGUUGGAACUUUCAAUCUAAAGUUCAGGGGAACCAUUGCAAAAGACAUGUACACCAUGGCAGGCUGGCUUCGGUGAUUCCAGGGUGUGUCACAUAGGUAUCCAUGAAGAAGAUACGUGUUUUGGUAGCUUCAGUACUGAGGAAUGGUUGAGCUCCUGGCAUGUUACCCAGCAACAAGGCUUAAAACGCUCUGGAGCUGUGGGCGCCAUCAGGCUCACACCAAGAAGGGAGGAACCACUGUUCUUCACUGCUUGCAUGUUCUUUCCAAGUCUC
This is a long non-coding RNA of Xenopus tropicalis (tropical clawed frog), 365 nucleotides long. RefSeq lists it as uncharacterized. The record is from RefSeq and is a predicted model, not a curated record. NCBI's taxonomy places the organism in Eukaryota, Metazoa, Chordata, Amphibia, Anura, Pipidae. The transcript is spliced from 3 exons.